GACGAACGCUGGCGGCGUGCUUAACACAUGCAAGUCGAACGGAAAGGCCCUGCUUUUGUGGGGUGCUCGAGUGGCGAACGGGUGAGUAACACGUGAGUAACCUGCCCUUGACUUUGGGAUACUUCAGGAAACUGGGGCUAAUACCGGAUAGGAGCUCCUGCUGCAUGGUGGGGGUUGGAAAGUUUCGGCGGUUGGGGAUGGACUCGCGGCUUAUCAGCUUGUUGGUGGGGUAGUGGCUUACCAAGGCUUUGACGGGUAGCCGGCCUGAGAGGGUGACCGGCCACAUUGGGACUGAGAUACGGCCCAGACUCCUACGGGAGGCAGCAGUGGGGAAUAUUGCACAAUGGGCGGAAGCCUGAUGCAGCAACGCCGCGUGCGGGAUGACGGCCUUCGGGUUGUGAACCGCUUUCGCCUGUGACGAAGCGUGAGUGACGGUAAUGGGUAAAGAAGCACCGGCUAACUACGUG
RNAcentral lists this ribosomal RNA (467 nucleotides) under uncultured bacterium. RNAcentral's name for it is "partial 16S ribosomal RNA". It matches the Rfam family "Bacterial small subunit ribosomal RNA", at positions 28 to 507 of the family's 1533-position model. The record is from RNAcentral.